UAGCAUUUAUGACAUCCGUGUGGAGCAUUCAAAAGCAUUCCAAUGGAACCUCUCAGGUCAUCCAUCAGUUACUUUGAAAACAGGCAGAGCUCUGCCUUGUGACAUCUGGCCAAUCUCCGGACCACUUUGAUCUUAUAAUCAGGAACCCAUCUACCACAGCAGCCACAGCCUCCAUCACAGCUAGAUGCUGUUUCGAACAACCAUUCUGCAAUAAUAACAUUUCAGAUCCUUUCUACAGGAAGCCAUAAGUAUAGUAUACCCAUGUUUGCCUUCCAAGUAACCUCAGGUUGAGGUUGCAGGCCUCAUACGGAGGGAACCCAUUUGGGGGUCUGAGAAGAAAAAAAAAAGCCUCUGGUUGAAUGCAGCAUAAUCAUAUCUGUUCACAUUCUCAUAGCCAGAGAAAAUGACCUGGUUAAAUCCAAAAUUGAAAGGAGAAAUAUAUUCACUCUACAACAAGAAGCAGGUACCAGGGAUUGAACUCUGGUCCUUGUGCUUGCUCAGCAGACGGUGAAAUCACUGAGCUAAAUCCCUGGCCCCUCCUCUAACUUUUAAGUACUAUAUAAAAUAAAAUGAGGAGAAGGAUGAUAAUGAGGUAGCUUAGUCAAGCAUUUGAGGAUUUGUCUGCUGCCAACCAAGUUUUAGUUUCCUACCUUUGCAGCCUACUGUAUUUGAGAAUUGAGAAUGGAUUCAUAGAGGAAAAAUACACAAAACCAGGAGCAGAUAUCUGUUUGGUGUGAUGCAGGGUAUUUGAUUUUCCUUCUGAGAGAUCCAAUAAGCAGCUGAGGAGAUAAAUAUAGUCUAGGAGAGAGUGGCUGGGGACUUCUUCUGUUUGAUUAGCCAUUUCUCUUGUCGGUGUAUGGCAUAUGGCACCACAGGUGCAGCUAUAACUGCUUUGUUUUCUACUUUCUCUAGAUAGCCUCAUUACUGGAGAAAUGUAAUAAACCCUUUGUUUCCCUGGGAGCUAUCCUAUCCUUCACUUUCAACAGCACUUGAGAGUUCUUCAAAAUUUCCAAAGGAAAACUUACAGCCUAAUAGAUUUCUCAGCUCACACAUCCAAGCAAAACCAGCAGCCAUGUAAGACAAGUGUUUCCUCGUAGGAAUUAGAUCCAGCAAGUCAACUACAACAGGAUGCCUAUUUAACCAAAGCUGUCAACAUGGGCAAAGAAUCCUUCAUGUCAUUAAGCGCCCAAAACAUGGUUCUAUGAGAAAUGCCUCUAUACAACCUAUGGGACUUCCUGAGCAUAAUGCCCGACUCCUCAAUUACAAAGCAAACAACACCAAAAGAUUAAAUUCUAGAAAAUUUGCAGAGAUGAAGACAGUCAGAAUACUAUAACAGGAAGAGUAAACCAAAAACAGAGGCAAAAAGUAAUAUUCCUGCAUGCAAUGUUUUUAAUUUCCAAGGAUUAAAGAUAGUUCUAUAUAAGCGACUGCAUAUAUGCUUUUAGGAAGAACCCUCCUUGAUAUUAGUAUCUUCAUUUAGUUCUCUUCUGAUUUGAAAUCCAGGGUAAAACACAUAAUGAAAGGCUGAAGCAGAAACAGCAUAUACACUUUACAUAGCUUACUGCUUUUCCUCAAAUACUACAUGGAAAAGAGAGACCAGGAAGAAAAAAAGAAAUAGCAGGACUAAAAAAUGAGACAAAAUUCUUUAGUAUAGUUAGCUAAGUAUUCCAGUUUGAGGUUUCAGUUUUUUUAAACUAACAUUCAGCUUCAGAUUUAAAGAUCUAUGUAUUAACAUCUUCCCAACCCACAGAGAAUCAUAAACCAGCUGUCCUCUACAGUAACAUCUCUCCCCUCUGUCCCUGCCUCUGCACCAUGCAUGGAACACACAGAUGUGCACACAGAAGUUCCUGCUGGCCUUCACCACCCAGUCAGGAGGAGAGACCCUGACCUCUAGUCUCCUGUCCUCCCAGCACGCUAGGUUGCUGCAAGCGCUUGUAAGUUGGAGGAGGAUCGUGGAAGAUCUUGAGGCCAGAUGGAUGACACUCCUGCCAGUCACUCAUCAAAACAGUUCUAGAGAUCACGGAGCAGAAACUAUAGUCACUGGAUAUCAAUUGGAAAAAUAAUCCCCCUAUUAAGUCCCUGAGCACAAGAAAUGGACAGUAUUUGGUGGCUGGAGUACAGCAUAAGGAAAUAAUCAGAAAUCUGGGCAAAGAAUUAUGUACCAAGAAGUUCACAGAAGCAUUAUUUAAAAUUGCAAAACAAGUAAAAACAAGUUGGAUUCAAACCAAAUGGCCCCAAAGAGGAAAUGAUUAAAUAAGAUGGGCUAUUAAACAGACAUUGAAUAUUAUGUUUUCAGAAUAUAUUUAAUUAAAUGGAAAAAUACAUACAAUAUAGUGUAAAGUUUUUAAAAAACAUACAAAACCAUAUGGGUAGUAUGUUUUAAAUCUGUGUCAAAAGUGCUAUGUCGAAAAUAAGCUGAGACUUGUGAAAAAUACUUAGGACAAUAUAAAGUACUUUUCCAUCAUAUUUGAAUCAAUGAGAAAAGACAGGCAAGGAACAGGCCUAUUGUUUGGGGGAGAAGGCAAUUUGCUAACAGCCAAUAGAAUUUUUUCCCAGCAAGGAAAAAUGACUUUCAAGUUCUCAAAAGAGAG
Long non-coding RNA from Heterocephalus glaber (naked mole-rat), 2591 nucleotides. NCBI's taxonomy places the organism in Eukaryota, Metazoa, Chordata, Mammalia, Rodentia, Bathyergidae. The record is from Ensembl.